This 218-nucleotide ribosomal RNA is filed under the name uncultured Lactobacillus sp. Its description in RNAcentral is "partial 16S ribosomal RNA". It matches the Rfam family "Bacterial small subunit ribosomal RNA", at positions 144 to 354 of the family's 1533-position model. Lineage: Bacteria; Bacillati; Bacillota; Bacilli; Lactobacillales; Lactobacillaceae. The record is from RNAcentral.
UAACACCUGGAAACAGAUGCUAAUACCGGAUAACAACAGAUGAUGCCUAUCAACUGUUUAAAAGAUGGUUCUGCUAUCACUCUUGGAUGGACCUGCGGUGCAUUAGCUAGUUGGUAGGGUAACGGCCUACCAAGGCGAUGAUGCAUAGCCGAGUUGAGAGACUGAUCGGCCACAUUGGGACUGAGACACGGCCCAAACUCCUACGGGAGGCAGCAGAU